This 440-nucleotide ribosomal RNA is filed under the name uncultured bacterium. RNAcentral describes it as "partial 16S ribosomal RNA". It matches the Rfam family "Bacterial small subunit ribosomal RNA", at positions 338 to 795 of the family's 1533-position model. The record is from RNAcentral.
CCUACGGGAGGCAGCAGUAGGGAAUAUUGCUCAAUGGGGGAAACCCUGAAGCAGCAACGCCGCGUGGAGGAUGAAGGUUUUAGGAGUGUAAACUCCUUUUGUUAGAGAAGAUUAUGACGGUAUCUAACGAAUAUGCCCCGGCUAACUCCGGGCCAGCAGCCGCGGUAAUACGGAGGGUGCAAGCGUUAUCCGGAAUCACUGGGCGUAAAGAGGGCGUAGGCGGGGUAAUAAGUCUGAUGUGAAAUGCUGUAGCUUAACUACAGAACUGCAUUUGAAACUGUUACACUGGAGUGUGGGCGAGGUAGGUGGAAUUCGUGGUGUAGGGGUGAAAUGCGUAGAGAUCACGAGGAAUUCUGAUUGCGAAGGCGGCCUGCUGGAGCGUUACUGACGCUGAGGCUCGAAAGCGUGGGGAGCGAACAGGAUUAGAUACCCCAGUAGUC